ACGGAAGGCAGCAGUGAGGAAUAUUGGUCAAUGGGCGAGAGCCUGAACCAGCCAAGUAGCGUGAAGGAUGACUGCCCUAUGGGUUGUAAACUUCUUUUGUUCGGGAAUAAAGGAGCCUACGCGUAGGCUUUUGCAUGUACCGUUCGAAUAAGCAUCGGCUAAUUCCGUGCCAGCAGCCGCGGUAAUACGGAAGAUGCGAGCGUUAUCCGGAUUUAUUGGGUUUAAAGGGAGCGUAGGCGGCCUUUUAAGUCAGCGGUCAAAUGUCAGCGCCCAACGCUGGCCUGCCGUUGAUACUGAUGGGCUUGAAUACACACAAGGAAGGUGGAAUUCGUCGUGUAGCGGUGAAAUGCUUAGAUAUGACGAAGAACUCCGAUUGCGAGGGCAGCCUUCUGGGGUGCGAUUGACGCUGAGGCUCGAAAGUGCGGGUAUCAAACAGGAUUAGAUACCUUGGUA
Molecule: ribosomal RNA, 453 nt
Filed under: uncultured Paraprevotella sp.
Lineage: Bacteria; Pseudomonadati; Bacteroidota; Bacteroidia; Bacteroidales; Prevotellaceae
Description: bacterial SSU rRNA
Rfam family: Bacterial small subunit ribosomal RNA
Source: RNAcentral